UGCAAGUCGAGCGGCAGCGCGGGGGCAACCCUGGCGGCGAGCGGCGAACGGGUGAGUAAUGUAUCGGAACGUACCCAGUCGUGGGGGAUAACUAUCCGAAAGGAUAGCUAAUACCGCAUACGUCCUGAGGGAGAAAGCGGGGGACCGUAAGGCCUCGCGCGAUUGGAGCGGCCGAUAUCGGAUUAGCUAGUUGGUGAGGUAAAGGCUCACCAAGGCGACGAUCCGUAGCUGGUCUGAGAGGACGACCAGUCACACUGGAACUGAGACACGGUCCAGACUCCUACGGGAGGCAGCAGUGGGGAAUUUUGGACAAUGGGGGCAACCCUGAUCCAGCCAUUCCGCGUGAGUGAAGAAGGCCUUCGGGUUGUAAAGCUCUUUCGGCAGGAACGAAACGGUGGCCCCUAAUACGGGUUACUAAUGACGGUACCUGAAGAAGAAGCACCGGCUAACUACGUGCCAGCAGCCGCGGUAAUACGUAGGGUGCGAGCGUUAAUCGGAAUUACUGGGCGUAAAGCGUGCGCAGGCGGUUAUGUAAGACAGGUGUGAAAUCCCCGGGCUUAACCUGGGAACUGCGCUUGUGACUGCAUAACUCGAGUGUGGCAGAGGGGGGUGGAAUUCCACGUGUAGCAGUGAAAUGCGUAGAGAUGUGGAGGAAC
This 656-nucleotide ribosomal RNA is filed under the name uncultured bacterium. RNAcentral's name for it is "bacterial SSU rRNA". It matches the Rfam family "Bacterial small subunit ribosomal RNA", at positions 56 to 707 of the family's 1533-position model. The record is from RNAcentral.